This 21-nucleotide non-coding RNA is filed under the name Caenorhabditis elegans. The record is from RNAcentral. Lineage: Eukaryota; Metazoa; Nematoda; Chromadorea; Rhabditida; Rhabditidae.
UAAUUUAUCCAAAUAAUUGCA